AGUGAACGCUGGCGGUAUGCCUAACACAUGCAAGUCGAGCGACCGCACGGGAAGCUUUCUCUUCUGCUGUUGGCGGCUGACGGGCGGGUAACACGUACAUAACCUACCUAUAUUUCUUGGAUAACUUCGUGAAAACGCUGCUACUACUGGCUAAUAUUUUCUACCGCUUGAUUCAAAAGUUCUUCGCGGUUUUGCUGUCUCUUAUAGACGGUUCCGCGCUGCAUUAGCUAGUUGGUAAGGUAACGGCCUACCAAGGCAACGAUGCGUAGCUGACCUGAGAGGGUGAUCGGCCACACUGGAACUGAGACACGGUCCAGACUCCUACGGGAGGCAGCAGUAGGGAAUAUUGCGCAAUGGGCGAAAGCCUGACGGAGCAACGCCGCGUGAGUGAAGAAGGUCUUCGGGUCGUAAAGCUCUGUUAUUAGGGAAGAACAGAUGUAGAAGAAAAUGUGGAUGUUUUGACGGUACCUAAACAGAAAGCAACGGCUAACUACGUG
This 497-nucleotide ribosomal RNA is filed under the name uncultured bacterium. Its description in RNAcentral is "partial 16S ribosomal RNA". It matches the Rfam family "Bacterial small subunit ribosomal RNA", at positions 29 to 507 of the family's 1533-position model. The record is from RNAcentral.